RNAcentral lists this ribosomal RNA (511 nucleotides) under uncultured bacterium. RNAcentral's name for it is "bacterial SSU rRNA". It matches the Rfam family "Bacterial small subunit ribosomal RNA", at positions 18 to 507 of the family's 1533-position model. The record is from RNAcentral.
CCUGGCUCAGAACGAACGUUGGCGGCGUGGAUGAGGCAUGCAAGUCGAGCGAGAAAGCACCUUCGGGUGUGAGUACAGCGGCGGACGGGUGAGUAACACGUAAUCAAGCUGCCCUCGAGACUGGGAUAACAGGGGGAAACUCUUGCUAAUACCGGAUGGUCUUGUUGGUUCGCAUGGACCGGCAAGUAAAGGUGGGGAUCCUACGGGACCUGCCGUUCGAGGAGGCGAUUGCGGCCUAUCAGCUAGUUGGCGGGGUAACGGCCCACCAAGGCGACGACGGGUAGCAGGCCUGAGAGGGUGGUCUGCCACACUGGGACUGAGACACUGCCCAGACUCCUACGGGAGGCUGCAGUCGAGAAUCUUCCGCAAUGGGCGAAAGCCUGACGGAGCGACGCCGCGUGGAGGACGAAGGCCUUAGGGUUGUAAACUCCUGUCACCGAUUAUGAAUGGCAAUACGUGAAUAUCGUAUUGUUUGACGUAAGUCGGGGAGGAAGCACCGGCUAACUCUGUG